This 72-nucleotide transfer RNA is filed under the name Erinaceus europaeus (western European hedgehog). It matches the Rfam family "tRNA". From Rfam's summary of the family: Transfer RNA (tRNA) molecules are approximately 80 nucleotides in length. Their secondary structure includes four short double-helical elements and three loops (D, anti-codon, and T loops). Further hydrogen bonds mediate the characteristic L-shaped molecular structure. tRNAs have two regions of fundamental functional importance: the anti-codon, which is responsible for specific mRNA codon recognition, and the 3' end, to which the tRNAs corresponding amino acid is attached (by aminoacyl-tRNA synthetases). tRNAs cope with the degeneracy of the genetic code in two manners: having more than one tRNA (with a specific anti-codon) for a particular amino acid; and 'wobble' base-pairing, i.e. permitting non-standard base-pairing at the 3rd anti-codon position. Lineage: Eukaryota; Metazoa; Chordata; Mammalia; Eulipotyphla; Erinaceidae. The record is from Rfam by way of RNAcentral.
AGGGGAGUAACUCAAUGGUAGAGUACAUGUUUCACAUGUAUGAGACCCUAGGUUUAAUCCCCAGCCCCCCCC